CAGCAGCCGCGGUAAUACGAAGGGUGCAAGCGUUACUCGGAAUUACUGGGCGUAAAGCGUGUGUAGGUGGUUGUUUAAGUCUGUCGUGAAAGCCCUGGGCUCAACCUGGGAAUUGCGAUGGAUACUGGGCGACUAGAGUGCGGUAGAGGAUAGUGGAAUUUCCGGUGUAGCAGUGAAAUGCGUAGAGAUCGGAAGGAACAUCUGUGGCGAAGGCGACUAUCUGGGCCAACACUGACACUGAGACACGAAAGCGCGGGGAGCAAACAGGAUUAGAUACCCGCGUAGUCCCUGUCUCUUAUAC
RNAcentral lists this ribosomal RNA (301 nucleotides) under uncultured bacterium. Its description in RNAcentral is "partial 16S ribosomal RNA". It matches the Rfam family "Bacterial small subunit ribosomal RNA", at positions 509 to 807 of the family's 1533-position model. The record is from RNAcentral.